RNAcentral lists this ribosomal RNA (602 nucleotides) under uncultured Ehrlichia sp. RNAcentral describes it as "bacterial SSU rRNA". It matches the Rfam family "Bacterial small subunit ribosomal RNA", at positions 22 to 646 of the family's 1533-position model. The record is from RNAcentral. Lineage: Bacteria; Pseudomonadati; Pseudomonadota; Alphaproteobacteria; Rickettsiales; Anaplasmataceae.
GCUCAGGACAAACGCUGGCGGCAAGCCUAACACAUGCAAGUCGAACGAAUAAUUGCCUAUAGUCUUUGGACUAUAAGUAGUUGUUAGUGGCAGACGGGUGAGUAAUGCGUAGGAAUCUACCUAGUAGUAUGGAAUAGCUAUUAGAAAUGAUGGGUAAUACUGUAUAAUCCCUGCGGGGGAAAGAUUUAUCGCUAUUAGAUGAGCCUACGUUAGAUUAGCUAGUUGGUAAGGUAAUGGCUUACCAAGGCUAUGAUCUAUAGCUGGUCUGAGAGGACGAUCAGCCACACUGGAACUGAGAUACGGUCCAGACUCCUACGGGAGGCAGCAGUGGGGAAUAUUGGACAAUGGGCGAAAGCCUGAUCCAGCUAUGCCGCGUGAGUGAAGAAGGCCUUCGGGUUGUAAAACUCUUUCAAUAGGGAAGAUAAUGACGGUACCUAUAGAAGAAGUCCCGGCAAACUCCGUGCCAGCAGCCGCGGUAAUACGGAGGGGGCAAGCGUUGUUCGGAAUUAUUGGGCGUAAAGGGCACGUAGGUGGACUAGUAAGUUAAAAGUGAAAUACCAAAGCUUAACUUUGGAGCUGCUUUUAAUACUGCUAGACUAGAG